RNAcentral lists this ribosomal RNA (464 nucleotides) under uncultured bacterium. RNAcentral's name for it is "partial 16S ribosomal RNA". It matches the Rfam family "Bacterial small subunit ribosomal RNA", at positions 338 to 795 of the family's 1533-position model. The record is from RNAcentral.
CCUACGGGGGGCAGCAGUAGGGAAUUUUCGUCAAUGGGCGCAAGCCUGAACGAGCAAUGCCGCGUGAACGAGGAAGGUCUUCGGAUCGUAAAGUUCUGUUGAAGGGGAAAAAGAGCGGAGAGAGGACAUGCUUUCUGAUUGAUAUUACCCUUCGAGGAAGUCACGGCUAACUACGUGCCAGCAGCCGCGGUAAUACGUAGGUGGCGAGCGUUAUCCGGAAUGAUUGGGCGUAAGGGGUGCGUAGGCGGCCUGCUAAGUCUGGAGGGAAAGGUACCGGCUCAACCGGUACAGGCUCUGGAAACUGGCGGGCUAGAGAGCAGGAGAGGGCGGUGGAAUGCCAUGUGUAGCGGUAAAAUGCGUAGAUAUAUGGAAGAACACCAGUGGCGAAGGCGGCCGCCUGGACUGUUACUGACGCUGAGGCACGAAAGCGUGGGGAGCAAAUAGGAUUAGAUACCCUUGUAGUC